This 497-nucleotide ribosomal RNA is filed under the name uncultured bacterium. RNAcentral describes it as "partial 16S ribosomal RNA". It matches the Rfam family "Bacterial small subunit ribosomal RNA", at positions 28 to 507 of the family's 1533-position model. The record is from RNAcentral.
GAUGAACGCUGGCGGCGUGCCUAAUACAUGCAAGUCGAGCGAACAGAUAAGGAGCUUGCUCCUUUGACGUUAGCGGCGGACGGGUGAGUAACACGUGGGUAACCUACCUAUAAGACUGGAAUAACUCCGGGAAACCGGGGCUAAUGCCGGAUAACAUUUAGAACCGCAUGGUUCUAAAGUGAAAGAUGGUUUUGCUAUCACUUAUAGAUGGACCCGCGCCGUAUUAGCUAGUUGGUAAGGUAACGGCUUACCAAGGCAACGAUACGUAGCCGACCUGAGAGGGUGAUCGGCCACACUGGAACUGAGACACGGUCCAGACUCCUACGGGAGGCAGCAGUAGGGAAUCUUCCGCAAUGGGCGAAAGCCUGACGGAGCAACGCCGCGUGAGUGAUGAAGGUCUUCGGAUCGUAAAACUCUGUUAUUAGGGAAGAACAAAUGUGUAAGUAACUGUGCACGUCUUGACGGUACCUAAUCAGAAAGCCACUGCUAACUACGUG